Molecule: long non-coding RNA, 350 nt
Filed under: Monodelphis domestica (gray short-tailed opossum)
Lineage: Eukaryota; Metazoa; Chordata; Mammalia; Didelphimorphia; Didelphidae
Description: lncRNA (ENSMODG00000050461.1)
Source: RNAcentral
GAUUUUUUUUUUCUCCUGAAGCAACUCUAUAAUUUCCAGAUGGCAGAAACAUCAGUAUUUUCAUGAGGAAGCAACAUGGCUGCCCAUAAUGGAACAUCACCAUCUCAGAAAAAUCAAAAUUUCAGGAAGGAGUUUUUAUAACCGAGUACUACUUAUUCCAAUUGGCACACAAGACAUGUCUAAAUCACCAAGUUUGAGGGAAGCAAAAUGAUUAUCAAGUGGAAGACAUGUGGCUUCUUCAGGAUGUUCCAGACCUUGAACUCCACUGCUAGAGCUUUUAAGAACACAAGUCAUGAUAUAGCAUUAGAAAAUUAUGCUGGUGGAAAGCUACAUAUAUACUAAGUACUUAA